AUUGAACGCUGGCGGCAGGCCUAACACAUGCAAGUCGAACGAGUGGCGGACGGGUGAGUAAUGUCGGGGACACUGCCUGAUGGAGGGGGAUAAAUACUGGAAACGGUAGCUAAUACCGCAUACCAUCGGAUGUGCCCAGAUGGGAUUAGCUAGUAGGUGGGGUAAAGGCUCACCUAGGCGACGAUCCCUAGCUGGUCUGAGAGGAUGACCAGCCACAUUGGCACUGAGACAAGGCCCACACUCCUAAGGGGGGCAGCAGUGGGGAAUAUUGCACAAUGUGCGCAAGCCUGAUGCAGCCAUGCCGCGUGUAUGAAGAAGGCCUUCGGGUUGUAAAGUACUUUCAGCGGGGAGGCGUUACCCGCAGAAGAAGCACCGGCUAACUCCGUGCCAGCAGCCGCGGUAAUAC
Molecule: ribosomal RNA, 406 nt
Filed under: uncultured bacterium
Lineage: Bacteria
Description: partial 16S ribosomal RNA
Rfam family: Bacterial small subunit ribosomal RNA
Source: RNAcentral